UACAGAGGGGGCAAGCGUUGUUCUGAAUUACUGGGCGUAAAGGGCGCGUAGGCGGCCUUCUAAGUCGAACGUGAAAUCCCCGGGCUCAACCCGGGAACUGCGUCCGAUACUGGAAGGCUUGAAUCCGGGAGAGGGAUGUGGAAUUCCAGGUGUAGCGGUGAAAUGCGUAGAUAUCUGGAGGAACACCGGUGGCGAAGGCGGAUCUCUGGGCCAUUACUGACGCUGAGGAGCGAAAGCGUGGGGAGCGAACAGG
RNAcentral lists this ribosomal RNA (253 nucleotides) under uncultured bacterium. Its description in RNAcentral is "partial 16S ribosomal RNA". It matches the Rfam family "Bacterial small subunit ribosomal RNA", at positions 524 to 776 of the family's 1533-position model. The record is from RNAcentral.